Molecule: ribosomal RNA, 524 nt
Filed under: uncultured bacterium
Lineage: Bacteria
Description: bacterial SSU rRNA
Rfam family: Bacterial small subunit ribosomal RNA
Source: RNAcentral
AAUAGAUACCCUGGUAGUCCACGCCGUAAACGAUGUCGACUUGGAGGUUGUGCCCUUGAGGCGUGGCUUCCGGAGCUAACGCGUUAAGUCGACCGCCUGGGGAGUACGGCCGCAAGGUUAAAACUCAAAUGAAUUGACGGGGGCCCGCACAAGCGGUGGAGCAUGUGGUUUAAUUCGAUGCAACGCGAAGAACCUUACCUACUCUUGACAUCCAGAGAACUUAGCAGAGAUGCUUUGGUGCCUUCGGGAACUCUGAGACAGGUGCUGCAUGGCUGUCGUCAGCUCGUGUUGUGAAAUGUUGGGUUAAGUCCCGCAACGAGCGCAACCCUUAUCCUUUGUUGCCAGCGGUUAGGCCGGGAACUCAAAGGAGACUGCCAGUGAUAAACUGGAGGAAGGUGGGGAUGACGUCAAGUCAUCAUGGCCCUUACGAGUAGGGCUACACACGUGCUACAAUGGCAUAUACAAAGAGAAAGCGACCUCGCGAGAGCAAGCGGACCUCAUAAAACGUAUGUCGUAAGUCCGGA